This 1357-nucleotide long non-coding RNA is filed under the name Sorghum bicolor (sorghum). RNAcentral describes it as "long non-coding RNA (SBIC_LNC017355)". Lineage: Eukaryota; Viridiplantae; Streptophyta; Magnoliopsida; Poales; Poaceae. The record is from RNAcentral.
GCCUUGUUGCUUGUCACCACGCCAUUUUCAUCUUGCUUGUUGCGAAAAACCCUUCAACAAGAGUCUAUACAUGAUUUCUCUCAAAGUUGUUGAGCUCUUCUUGCAUAGCCAAGACCCAAUCCUCAUCCACCAAUGCCUUUUCUAUCUUAUCUAGUUCAAUAGAAGAAACAAAAGAAAAAAGUUGACAAAAACUUGCUAAAUGAGAUCGAGUCAACACUCCCGUUCAUAGACUUCCAAGAAUAUUAUCGGUGGGAUGAUUUCUUUGAAUUGUUUGGCGUAGUCUUGGAUGCUUCACAUCUUCUUGAUCAUCAGCUGAGACUUCAUCUGCCUCAAGUUCAAGAAUAGGUGAGAGAUCAUGUCCUUGUACAUGUAUUGUCUCUAUUGCUGCGAGGGAGAGGCGGCACUACCACCUUGCUGGUCAGCAAUAGGUGUGGCCUGCACAUCUGCAUCAAGAGUGUCAGCGGAAGACUUUGCAGCAGCAUCUUGGGGAUCCUCCUUUUCUGUGUCUUUGUUCUCUUGUGGCCUGAUUUCUCCAGUGGCCAAAUGCUUAAUUGCAUCGCAUGGUGGAUCCUCCUUUCCUACAACACUUUCAUCAAGAUGCUCUACUUGAGAGCCGUGCGAUUGGCAUAUUCAUUUGAUCCAUAACAAGGAAGAAUACCCUCAUCAACUUUAGGUGCAAAUUUAGAAGUUUUGUGUAACACCCAAAAUUUUGAUUUCAAUAAAUAGGGAUUAAUUUGAUUUAAUUAAGUAAUUUUGUGAGCAUUUAAAUUUAGCACUUAAAUAAUUUUUGUGGAAAAUAAAAAUUUAUCAUAGGUACAAUAAAUAUGUUGGUGCAUUUCAUGCUGGUGCAUAUUUAGUUUUGUGUUGUUGCCUUUUGUUUGAAUUUAUUUGCAUUCAAAAUUAUAUUGGGAAAAAUGUUUUGGAAAAAGGAAAAAAGAAAAUAAAAUAAAUAAAAAGAAAAGGGGAGGAGCCCCUGGAAACCAGGCCGCAGCCCAGUUAACCCUCCCCCGCGCCUCCUUCCCCCUUGGCCCGCUAGCGACCACAGCGGCCCAGCUCCCUCGCCUUGGCCCGAAGCGCAGCAGGCCGGCCCGCGCGUGCGCUCUGUUUCCCCCCUCCUCUGACUGCCAGCUAGGCCCCGCCCUUUCUUUCACUGGCACCCCGGGCCCGUGUGGCAGCGCCCUGCUUCUCUUCUUCCCCAGCGCGACCCCGAGCCGAGUUCGGUGGAAACUUCGUCUCCAUCCCGAUUUGCCGGGAUUUCCUAGCCAAAAAUGAACCGAGCCUCUACAAAACUCUCAAGCCUUUCCCCGCGCUCCCCUAUUCCCUUAUAUUGAAGCCGUGAGGCCAUAUCCAUCGCCCA